GAGGCAGUCAAACAGAGCAAGUAGUUCAG
RNAcentral lists this non-coding RNA (29 nucleotides) under Cricetulus griseus (Chinese hamster). The record is from RNAcentral. Lineage: Eukaryota; Metazoa; Chordata; Mammalia; Rodentia; Cricetidae.